Molecule: transfer-messenger RNA, 356 nt
Filed under: bacterium
Lineage: Bacteria
Rfam family: transfer-messenger RNA
About the family: Bacterial tmRNA, also known as 10Sa RNA or SsrA, is named for its dual tRNA and mRNA-like properties. Its role is to liberate the mRNA from a stalled ribosome. To accomplish this part of the tmRNA is used as a reading frame that ends in a translation stop signal.
Source: RNAcentral
GGGGACGUUCGUGGGAUUCGACGGAAUCGUGACAACCCCGGGCUGCAUGCCGUGGACGUGCCGGAGCCCCACGUUAAAAGUUUCGGCAACACCAUAAUCGGCAACGAUUACGCUCUCGCUGCCUAAAACUUAGGCAGCCGAAGCCCAUGGGCGCGCCCGCCACCUGUGGAGUCUUCGUCAUCCAGCGGGCUGGCCCCGAAGGCCCGGCUGAACCGGAGGGGCGAGAUCCUUCAGCCUGGACGCGACGCAGCGUGACCGCCCGCGUCGGCGCGUCAAGAUCAAAUGACGGCCUAUGCAUGUAGACGCCCAGGGACGUGCUUUUUCGGACGAGGGUUCAACUCCCUCCGUCUCCAUGA